GUGCUGGCUUCAGCAGCACGUAUACUAAAAUUGGAACGAUACAGAGAUUGGCAUGGUCCCUGUGCAAGGAUGAUGUGCAAAUUUGUGAAGUAUUCCAUAUUUUU
Molecule: small nuclear RNA, 104 nt
Organism: Balaenoptera ricei (Rice's whale)
Lineage: Eukaryota; Metazoa; Chordata; Mammalia; Artiodactyla; Balaenopteridae
Source: RefSeq, a predicted model, not a curated record